UAAAAGUGUCACUGCUCUCUGUCUCCUC
This 28-nucleotide non-coding RNA is filed under the name Mus musculus (house mouse). The record is from RNAcentral. Lineage: Eukaryota; Metazoa; Chordata; Mammalia; Rodentia; Muridae.